Molecule: ribosomal RNA, 395 nt
Filed under: uncultured bacterium
Lineage: Bacteria
Description: partial 16S ribosomal RNA
Rfam family: Bacterial small subunit ribosomal RNA
Source: RNAcentral
CCUACGGGAGGCAGCAGUGAGGAAUAUUGGUCAAUGGGCGCGAGCCUGAACCAGCCAAGUAGCGUGAAGGAUGACUGCCCUACGGGUUGUAAACUUCUUUUAUAAAGGAAUAAAGUGCGGCACGUGUGCCUUGUUGUAGGGACUUUAUGAAUAAGGAUUGGAGAACCCCGUGCCAGCAGCCGCGGUAAGACGGAGGAUGCGGGCGUUACUCGGAUUUAUUGGGUUUAAAGGGAGUGCAGAUGGGUUGUUAAGUCAGUUGUGAAAGUUUGCGGCUCAACCGUAAAAUUGCAAUUGAUACUGGCAGGCUUGAGUACAGUGGAGGUAGGCGGAAUUCGUGGUGUAGCAGUGAAAUGCUUAGAUAUCACGAAGAACUCCGAUUGCGAAGGCAGCUUCCU